UAGAGUUUGAUCCUGGCUCAGGACGAACGCUGGCGGCGUGCCUAACACAUGCAAGUCGAGCGGAGUUAUAGCAGUUAGCUUGCUAACAGCAAUAACUUAGCGGCGGACGGGUGAGUAACGCGUGAGCAACCUACCUUAUAGAGGGGGAUAACACAUCGAAAGGUGUGCUAAUACCGCAUGAUAUUAUUAGUUUGCAUGAACUAAUAAUCAAAGGAGCAAUCCGCUAUAAGAUGGGCUCGCGUCUGAUUAGCUAGUUGGUAGGGUAGAUGCCUACCAAGGCGACGAUCAGUAGCCGACCUGAGAGGGUGACCGGCCACAUUGGGACUGAGACACGGCCCAGACUCCUACGGGAGGCAGCAGUGGGGGAUAUUGCGCAAUGGGGGAAACCCUGACGCAGCGACGCCGCGUGAAGGAAGAAGGUCUUCGGAUCGUAAACUUCUUUGAUUAGGGAAGAAACAUGACAGUACCUAAAGAACAAGCCACGGCUAACUACGUGCCAGCAGCCGCGGUAAUACGUAGGUGGCGAGCGUUGUCCGGAAUUACUGGGUGUAAAGGGCGUGUAGGCGGGUAAGCAAGUCAGAUGUGAAAUACCGGGGCUCAACCUCGGGGCUGCAUUUGAAACUGUUUAUCUUGAGUGCAGGAGAGGGAAGCGGAAUUCCUAGUGUAGCGGUGAAAUGCGUAGAUAUUAGGAGGAACACCAGUGGCGAAGGCGGCUUCCUGGACUGUAACUGACGCUGAGGCGCGAAAGCGUGGGUAGCGAACAGGAUUAGAUACCCUGGUAGUCCACGCCGUAAACGAUGGAUGCUAGGUGUAGGAGGUAUCGACCCCUUCUGUGCCGGAGUUAACACAAUAAGUAUCCCACCUGGGGAGUACGGCCGCAAGGCUGAAACUCAAAGGAAUUGACGGGGGCCCGCACAAGCAGUGGAGUAUGUGGUUUAAUUCGAAGCAACGCGAAGAACCUUACCAGGGCUUGACAUCUACAGAAUCCCAUAGAGAUAUGGGAGUGCCUUCGGGAACUGUAAGACAGGUGGUGCAUGGUUGUCGUCAGCUCGUGUCGUGAGAUGUUGGGUUAAGUCCCGCAACGAGCGCAACCCUUAUCGUUAGUUGCCAGCAAGUAAAGUUGGGCACUCUAGCGAGACUGCCGGUGACAAAUCGGAGGAAGGUGGGGACGACGUCAAAUCAUCAUGCCCCUUAUGUCCUGGGCUACACACGUACUACAAUGGCCGUUAACAGCGGGAAGCGAAGCAGCGAUGUGGAGCGAAUCCCCAAAAACGGUCCCAGUUCGGAUUGUAGGCUGCAACUCGCCUACAUGAAGUCGGAAUUGCUAGUAAUCGCGGAUCAGCAUGCCGCGGUGAAUACGUUCCCGGGCCUUGUACACACCGCCCGUCACACCAUGAGAGUCGGAAACACCCGAAGCCUGUGAGCUAACCUUAGGGAGGCAGCAGUCGAAGGUGGGUCUGAUGAUUAGGGUGAAGUCGUAACAAGGUAACC
This 1491-nucleotide ribosomal RNA is filed under the name uncultured Clostridiaceae bacterium. RNAcentral's name for it is "bacterial SSU rRNA". It matches the Rfam family "Bacterial small subunit ribosomal RNA". Lineage: Bacteria; Bacillati; Bacillota; Clostridia; Eubacteriales; Clostridiaceae. The record is from RNAcentral.